AAAAAUACUCAUAAAUAAUAAAAUUUUGGGGUGUUACACAUAUAAUAAGAGGAGCUCCUAUGAGAAUAAAUCCAAUAACUGUACACAGUUUUGAGGUUAAAAAAAUAAAAAAGCCACUAAUCAUUGGUCAGACCUAAACCUAUCUUGCCUAGCCAUGCUUAGUAGAUAGGUCUACACUCACUUGAAUGUAACUAAUCCAGCAUGCAAUGCAGCAGAGCAAAAUGAAUUCACUCGUUUGCCAGAUAUUUUAAACGAUCAUUGCAAAAGAUGAGCACCAAAGUAAAUAGUAUGUUUUACAACAAAAUCUUCCAAUAACUUUCGUAGUAAAUUACAGCUAUUAUGCUAGACCUCUUUUUUCAGUUACAAAAACAUUUGCUAAACAAAAGAAAACAAAGAAUAUAGAAAAAGAGGGAAAUUUUGAAAUAAAGGAAGGGCAAUAAACAUGAUACUUAUUUGGAAGAAAAAUUAGAUCCAUUCUUGUAUCCAAUAACUUCCACUCUUCACUUCCCUGUUCAGGUUUAUGGUCAUAUUCCCAUCGUGCAGUUAGUGGCAGAGAAACAAGAAUACUUUCAAUUCGACCACGUCUUCAGCCCAAAUGUUGUGCCCCGAUCAUAAACCUUUGAUUGAAAAAAUAACCAAAUGGCAUUCAAGGCAUGAUCUUGAAGAAAGUUUUAUGAUUUAAAGAAAAAAUAAAGAUAUUCAGAUUCAGUUAUGAUACAAAGUUAAAUUGUACAUAGCGUCCCCUACGUAACUGUUGCCAUGCUUUAUGGUGAUCAGUGAAUCGCAUAUCCUUUAUUUUUUCUAUAAUGGGAAUGUAAGCAGGUACCACAGAAUUUGCACACUCUGCAAUUUAGCAAAAUGUUUGCACAGGGAGAUCCUUGAACCGCUAGAACUUGAAAAAGAAAAUUAAAUUAAAUUCUUGAUAAAUUAUUACCAGCGGCAAAGGAAAGAAGCAUAUCUUGAUCAUAGUCAUUUAGAUCAUCAAAAAAUAUUCCUCCAAGUCCUCGCCUCUCACCUCGAUGCUUAAUAUAGAAAUAGUCAUCACACCACUUUUUGAACCGGGGAUAAAAGUUGGGUCAAAUUUAUCACAGGCUUUUUUUUGAAUCUUUUAAUCUCAGCGGGCUAAUUGUUUGUUGAGGAUCGCAAUCUGACUAGAUCAGCUGUGCAAAUGCAGUCAAUUCAGGCACAAUUUGUGUCUGUCAAUCAACCUACUCUUGUGGAUAAAGAAGGUUGUCUGUCAAUCAACCAGUCCCAAUUAAAUGGAAUUAAGAUUUCUUACUCAGCAAUAGAAGUCAUUCUUUCACUAAAUGAAGCUGAAUGCUGCAUUGAGUUUAUAAUGAAAUGUGCUUUUGAGUUGAUCAUCCCUAAGCCAUUUUGUACAUCUCAUUGUUCCAAAUUACGAUUACGUGCAAUUGGAAGGGGAAAUUGGAAAACAAAUUCUAUUGGAUGGAAUCGCGGAUGCAGUGCAUGUGGAAGGCAGUAUAUAAUUACAACAGGACUAAGAUAGAACACAAAUAUCCAAAAAGGAAAACAGCAAUGUGAAAGAGACAUACCUUGAGAUGAGAAAGGCCAGAGAGUAACACCUUGAACACAUUUAUGAAAGGCGUAAUCUACCUUUGAUGGCGUCAUCAACAGCUUGAACAAUAAAUUGUUUUGCGACCAUCUUUUCCUGUAACCUCAGUUGUACCUUUGAGCGGCAUGUUUAUGCACCAACUUAAUUUGUACCAUUUUCACAAACACUAGCCUAAGGGAAAGCGCCUGUCCCAAGUUAAUUUAAAGAAGAAGAGAGACAACCAUGGCCUUGCGAUAAAACUUCAGUCACUGAAUACUAACAGAACAUGCUUCUCGCCUUAUCAUAUGAUUUGAACAUUCAAUGCAAAAGCAUGUUCUCCAUGGUCUACUGGAUCUGCCCAGACCAAAGAGAUCCAGGGAAAAUUUGAAGUCGAAAACUCGCCUGCCCAAACCAAAGAGAUCCAUGGCUGUUAGAGAGAGAGAAAGAGAUUGUGUUUUCUUCUCUCUGCUGUGUGGAGUGUUUAUGAACAAUGAAUGAAUCUUCGAACAGAUAAUCAGGAAGGGAGAGUGCGCCCGAUAUGAAUCGUUGAGUACAGCCCAGGCGCGCUAACACUAGGCUCGGUCGUGUGGCAGUGGCAUGGAUUAAAAGCAUUGAAAGGGGAUACCUUCGUCGUCCGAUGUCCGAUUCAAGGUUUUUUUUUUAUUCCAUGUAACUUUUCGAGCUCUACGUGUUGGCAAAC
RNAcentral lists this unclassified non-coding RNA (2252 nucleotides) under Hevea brasiliensis (rubber tree). The record is from RNAcentral. Lineage: Eukaryota; Viridiplantae; Streptophyta; Magnoliopsida; Malpighiales; Euphorbiaceae.